This 465-nucleotide ribosomal RNA is filed under the name Vreelandella stevensii. RNAcentral's name for it is "partial 16S ribosomal RNA". It matches the Rfam family "Bacterial small subunit ribosomal RNA", at positions 338 to 795 of the family's 1533-position model. Lineage: Bacteria; Pseudomonadati; Pseudomonadota; Gammaproteobacteria; Oceanospirillales; Halomonadaceae. The record is from RNAcentral.
CCUACGGGUGGCUGCAGUGGGGAAUAUUGGUCAAUGGGGGCAACCCUGAUCCAGCCAUGCCGCGUGUGUGAAGAAGGCCCUCGGGUUGUAAAGCACUUUCAGUGAGGAAGAACGCCUGGUGGUUAAUACCCAUCAGGAAAGACAUCACUCACAGAAGAAGCACCGGCUAACUCCGUGCCAGCAGCCGCGGUAAUACGGAGGGUGCGAGCGUUAAUCGGAAUUACUGGGCGUAAAGCGCGCGUAGGUGGCUUGAUAAGCCGGUUGUGAAAGCCCCGGGCUCAACCUGGGAACGGCAUCCGGAACUGUCAAGCUAGAGUGCAGGAGAGGAAGGUAGAAUUCCCGGUGUAGCGGUGAAAUGCGUAGAGAUCGGGAGGAAUACCAGUGGCGAAGGCGGCCUUCUGGACUGACACUGACACUGAGGUGCGAAAGCGUGGGUAGCAAACAGGAUUAGAUACCCCAGUAGUC